RNAcentral lists this ribosomal RNA (494 nucleotides) under uncultured bacterium. RNAcentral describes it as "partial 16S ribosomal RNA". It matches the Rfam family "Bacterial small subunit ribosomal RNA", at positions 28 to 507 of the family's 1533-position model. The record is from RNAcentral.
GACGAACGCUGGCGGCGCGCUUAACACAUGCAAGUCGAACGGAAAGGCCUGCUUUCCCUUGUGGAUUGCGGGUACUCGAGUGGCGAACGGGUGAGUAACACGUGAGUGAUCUGCCCCCAACUUGGGUAUAAGCCUGGGAAACUGGGUCUAAUUCCCGAUAGGACUGCAGGGUGGUGCCUGUGGUGGAAAACGAUUUUCUAGUGGUUGGGGAUGAGCUCGCGGCCUAUCAGCUUGUUGGUGGGGUAAUGGCCUACCAAGGCGGCGACGGGUAGCCGGCCUGGGAGGGUGGACGGCCGCAUUGGGACUGAGAUACGGCCCAGACGCCUACGGGAGGCAGCAGUGGGGAAUAUUGCACAGUGGGCGGAAGCCUGAUGCAGCGACGCCGCGUGGGGGAUGACGGCCUUCGGGUUGUAAACUCCUUUCGACCGCGAGGAAGCCACCUGGUUGGAAGGGUGGUGACGGUAGUGGUAGAAGAAGCACCGGCUAACUACGUG